RNAcentral lists this ribosomal RNA (305 nucleotides) under uncultured bacterium. Its description in RNAcentral is "bacterial SSU rRNA". It matches the Rfam family "Bacterial small subunit ribosomal RNA", at positions 337 to 639 of the family's 1533-position model. The record is from RNAcentral.
CCCUACGGGGGGCAGCAGUGAGGAAUAUUGGUCAAUGGCCGGAAGGCUGAACCAGCCAAGCCGCGUGAAGGACGAAGGUGCCAAGCAUUGUAAACUUCUUUUGUCAAGGGACAAAAUCAGGCUCGAGAGCCUGACCGAGGGUACUUGAAGAAAAAGCAUCGGCUAACUCCGUGCCAGCAGCCGCGGUAAUACGGAGGAUGCGAGCGUUAUCCGGAUUCACUGGGCGUAAAGGGAGCGCAGGCGGCACGGCAAGUCUGAUGUGAAAACCCGGGGCUCAACCCCGGGACUGCAUUGGAAACUGCCGG